This 455-nucleotide ribosomal RNA is filed under the name uncultured bacterium. RNAcentral describes it as "bacterial SSU rRNA". It matches the Rfam family "Bacterial small subunit ribosomal RNA", at positions 329 to 803 of the family's 1533-position model. The record is from RNAcentral.
UGGCUAACUCCUACGGGAGGCAGCAGUGGGGAAUUUUGGACAAUGGAGGGAACUCUGAUGCAGCGACGCCGCGUGAACGACGAAGGCUUUCGAGUCGUAAAGUUCUUUUCUAUGGGAAGAUAAUGACGGUACCAUAAGAAAAAGCCCCGGCUAACUACGUGCCAGCAGCCGCGGUAAUACGUAGGGGGCUAGCGUUGUCCGGAAUCACUGGGCGUAAAGGGUUCGCAGGCGGAAAUGCAAGUCAGAUGUAAAAGGCAGUAGCUUAACUACUGUAAGCAUUUGAAACUGCAUAUCUUGAGAAGAGUAGAGGUAAGUGGAAUUUUUAGUGUAGCGGUGAAAUGCGUAGAUAUUAAAAAGAAUACCGGUGGCGAAGGCGACUUACUGGGCUCAUUCUGACGCUGAGGAACGAAAGCGUGGGGAGCAAACAGGAUUAGAAACCCCAGUAGUCCAGCUGG